This 253-nucleotide ribosomal RNA is filed under the name uncultured bacterium. RNAcentral's name for it is "partial 16S ribosomal RNA". It matches the Rfam family "Bacterial small subunit ribosomal RNA", at positions 524 to 776 of the family's 1533-position model. The record is from RNAcentral.
GACAGAGGGUGCAAACGUUGUUCGGAAUUACUGGGCGUAAAGCGAGUGUAGGCGGUCUGACAAGUCGGGUGUGAAAGCCCUGGGCUCAACCCAGGAAGUGCACUCGAAACUGCCAGGCUAGAGUAUCGGAGAGGUUGGUGGAAUUCUCGGUGUAGAGGUGAAAUUCGUAGAUAUCGAGAGGAACACCGGUGGCGAAGGCGGCCAACUGGACGAAUACUGACGCUGAGACUCGAAAGCGUGGGGAGCAAACAGG